This 498-nucleotide ribosomal RNA is filed under the name Listeria monocytogenes. RNAcentral's name for it is "bacterial SSU rRNA". The record is from RNAcentral. Lineage: Bacteria; Bacillati; Bacillota; Bacilli; Caryophanales; Listeriaceae.
UUUCUUWGUUUGAUCCUGKCUCAGGACGAACGCUGGCGGCGUGCCUAAUACAUGCAAGUCGAACGAACGGAGGAAGAGCUUGCUCUUCCAAAGUUAGUGGCGGACGGGUGAGUAACACGUGGGCAACCUGCCUGUAAGUUGGGGAUAACUCCGGGAAACCGGGGCUAAUACCGAAUGAUAAAGUGUGGCGCAUGCCACGCUUUUGAAAGAUGGUUUCGGCUAUCGCUUACAGAUGGGCCCGCGGUGCAUUAGCUAGUUGGUAGGGUAAUGGCCUACCAAGGCAACGAUGCAUAGCCGACCUGAGAGGGUGAUCGGCCACACUGGGACUGAGACACGGCCCAGACUCCUACGGGAGGCAGCAGUAGGGAAUCUUCCGCAAUGGACGAAAGUCUGACGGAGCAACGCCGCGUGUAUGAAGAAGGUUUUCGGAUCGUAAAGUACUGUUGUUAGAGAAGAACAAGGAUAAGAGUAACUGCUGUCCCUGACGWUCWCCCMRAG